GAGCACCUUAAAGAAUCGCUAUCAAAGUAACACAAACGGAGCAUUAAUCCUCGGAUUACUAGCUCUUUUAUUAUUACUUUGGGGAAAGUCCUCGGACACAUGACAGAAAGUGUCGCCUAUAAUGAGGUAUAACCAAUUCGCACUUCAUGGCCUUCUUUAUGAUCGAAGAAGAGUUCUUACUCGAGAUUGGGAGGUCGCGAAUUUGGUUUUGUUGGUCAUAGCACAGUUAUGCGAUUGUAACUUCUUUCCGUAAAAAAGAAAAAGGUUAUAACACAACGGGGCUUACUCUUAGGGUGUU
Non-coding RNA from Rhizophagus irregularis DAOM 197198w, 298 nucleotides. It matches the Rfam family "RNase MRP". Rfam says of the family: RNase MRP is an enzymatically active ribonucleoprotein with two distinct roles in eukaryotes. In mitochondria it plays a direct role in the initiation of mitochondrial DNA replication. Lineage: Eukaryota; Fungi; Glomeromycota; Glomeromycetes; Glomerales; Glomeraceae. The record is from Rfam.